UUUGCACUCAACACCAACCAGAUAAGCCUUCUCUUGAAAUAUCUGCAGGUAGCCAGGUCCACAGGUUCAGAAAUCAGACAUGAUGAAACUGGCAGGUAACACCAACUCACAGCUCUAUUGUUCAUGUCACGGCCCAAAAUAUCUAGCGGGGAUGUAACAAUCAAAAGUUCUCUCCGGUGAAUUUGAUGGAUCGCUGCAGGUUAUCAUAUUCUCCACACGCUGAGUAGAAACCGCCCAAUCUGUCAAACAGGCCGGCGCCAAGCGGGCCUGUCGGAGCAACAAAAGCAAGCAGCUGAAGCUACGCAAUCC
RNAcentral lists this long non-coding RNA (309 nucleotides) under Zea mays. RNAcentral describes it as "long non-coding RNA (ZMAY_LNC002163)". Lineage: Eukaryota; Viridiplantae; Streptophyta; Magnoliopsida; Poales; Poaceae. The record is from RNAcentral.